UACGUAGGUGGCGAGCGUUAUCCGGAAUUACUGGGCGUAAAGCGUACGCAGGCGGCUUCUUAAGUCUGACGUGAAAGCUCCCGGCUUAACUGGGAGAGGUCGUUGGAGACUGGGGGGCUUGAGGCGAUGAGAGGGGUGUAGAAUUCCCGGUGUAGUGGUGGAAUGCGUAGAUAUCGGGAGGAAUACCAGUGGCGAAAGCGACACCCUGGCAUAGGCCUGACGCUCAUGUACGAAAGCGUGGGGAGCAAACGGG
This 253-nucleotide ribosomal RNA is filed under the name uncultured bacterium. RNAcentral's name for it is "partial 16S ribosomal RNA". It matches the Rfam family "Bacterial small subunit ribosomal RNA", at positions 524 to 776 of the family's 1533-position model. The record is from RNAcentral.